RNAcentral lists this ribosomal RNA (515 nucleotides) under uncultured Chloroflexota bacterium. Its description in RNAcentral is "bacterial SSU rRNA". It matches the Rfam family "Bacterial small subunit ribosomal RNA", at positions 366 to 896 of the family's 1533-position model. Lineage: Bacteria; Bacillati; Chloroflexota. The record is from RNAcentral.
GCACAAUGGGCGAAAGCCUGAUGCAGCAACGCCGCGUGCGCGAAGAAGGUCUUCGGAUCGUAAAGCGCUUUUUGGGGAGAUGAGGAAGGACAGUAUCCCCAGAAUAAGGCUCGGCUAACUACGUGCCAGCAGCCGCGGUAAAACGUAGGAGCCAAGCGUUAUCCGAAUUCACUGGGCGUAAAGCGCGUGCAGGCGGUCUGGUAAGUUGGAUGUGAAAUCUCCUGGCUCAACUGGGAGAGGCCGUUCAAUACUGUCAGACUAGAGGGCGACAGAGGGAGGUGGAAUUCCGGGUGUAGUGGUGAAAUGCGUAGAUAUCCGGAGGAACACCAGAGGCGAAGGCGACCCCCUGGGUCGUACCUGACGCUCAGAUGCGAAAGCUAGGGGAGCGAACGGGAUUAGAAACCCCGGUAGUCCUAGCCGUAAACGAUGUAGACUGGGUGUUGGCGGGGUAAAAGCCGUCAGUGCCGAAGCAAACGCGAUAAGUCUACCGCCUGGGGACUACGGCCGCAAGGUUA